GAUCUUUCGCUAUUCGAGAGGGAUGCAAGCUUAUCUACAAGCAAAAUAAUUUAGAUAUGUGUUAAAUAUAAUAGAACUGCAUGCCAUCUGCUACGGCCCUUUGAGGACACUGCCACUUCAGUCAUAAUAUUGUAUAUUGUCUUCUUUUCACAAUUCGAGUAUUACUUAUUUUAUAUCGACAUUGACGCGAUUGCAGUAUGUUCCAUCUUUUUAAGCAACAAAUUCCAGUGGUUUUCUAUCAUUCGAGAAAAAUCAACAUCCAAUCAUUUACAAUCAUUUAGAACAUUCAAAUAUAAGUGAUAUAAAAAUUAAGCAAUAAAUACA
This is a non-coding RNA of Cinara cedri, 324 nucleotides long. The record is from the annotation of a GenBank genome assembly. Lineage: Eukaryota; Metazoa; Arthropoda; Insecta; Hemiptera; Aphididae.